Xenopus laevis (African clawed frog) is the source of this 648-nucleotide long non-coding RNA. RefSeq lists it as uncharacterized. The record is from RefSeq and is a predicted model, not a curated record. NCBI's taxonomy places the organism in Eukaryota, Metazoa, Chordata, Amphibia, Anura, Pipidae. The transcript has 4 exons.
CCCAGCAUGGCUCCUGUCUCCUAGCUUUCGCUUAACUUUUCACAACGGGCCAGGCAGAGCUAAGUGGUGGGCGGGGUCAUGGCACUGCACUGGGAGAAGAGAGGAGACUGGCUGCCAUGUGUCUGCUCUCUUACUAGCAAGUGAGAUGAUAGACAGAGUCAGAGAACAGGUGCACUGGGGACGUGGAGCCCGUGAGACCCCCUUACCGGAACUAGUCCUGAUCAGAGGUUCCAUUGAAGGAAACAACAAAUGUGUAUUGCUUUAUAGUAAAGGUCUUCCUUAAAACUGGAUGUCAUCUCCUGCAGCAUGCCUUUGAUAUUAUAUUUAGAGGGUAGCUGUCUCAGGUAGAUAAUAGGCCCCGAACUGAUGAAUGAAGGAAGGAGCAGCUAAGCUAUUUAAUUCACUGCCAGCACAAGACAAUGUCUUUUAAAUGUAAUAACUUUUAAAAAAAAUGUCUGUACCUCUAUGCAUAACCUUGGAUAGUCUAAUUCUAAUUACAUCAACUUCUGUGAUUGGCUGUGAUUGUUUAAUUUUCUUUAAAUAUAUUUGUGUAUUCAGAAGAUGCCCAGACUAUGAUUAAGUGCCCACAAGGCACGAAAUGCAUAAGGCUACAGCAUUUGAGAUGUUUUUUGUUAAAUAAAAUAUACU